RNAcentral lists this ribosomal RNA (497 nucleotides) under uncultured bacterium. Its description in RNAcentral is "partial 16S ribosomal RNA". It matches the Rfam family "Bacterial small subunit ribosomal RNA", at positions 28 to 507 of the family's 1533-position model. The record is from RNAcentral.
GAUGAACGCUGGCGGCGUGCCUAAUACAUGCAAGUCGAGCGAACAGACGAGGAGCUUGCUCCUCUGACGUUAGCGGCGGACGGGUGAGUAACACGUGUAUAACCUACCUAUAAGACUGGGAUAACUUCGGGAAACCGGCGCUAAUACCGGAUAAUAUAUUGAACCGCAUGGUUCAAUAGUGAAAGACGGUUUUGCUGUAUCUUAUAGCUGGAUCCGCGCCGCAUUAGCUAGUUGGUAAGGUAACGGCUUACCAAGGCAACGAUGCGUAGCCGACCUGAGGGGGUGGUCGGCCACACGGGAACUGAGACACGGUCCAGACGCCUACGGGAGGCAGCAGUAGGGAAUCUUCCGCAAUGGUCGAAAGUCUGACGGAGCAACGCGGCGUGAGUUAUGAAGGUGUUCGGAUCGUAAAACUCUGUUAUGAGGGAAGAACAAAUUUGUAAGUAACUAUGCACGGAGUGACGGUACCUAAUCAGAAAGCCACGGCUAACUACGUG